CAACAGACCAACCCCCACCCCCAAUACCUAUUUCUCCCUCCAGCCUUCACACUCUUGUAGUUUAAGAAUGAGAUAAUCUUGUAGCUGCUGGGAGUUUCCAUGAAGGGGGACUGGCCCAGGAAUGAGGUCAACCAGAGAAAAGUAGAGCCCUGAGAGAGGGACUAGGUCCUGAAGACUUCAUUUAAGACACAGGAUCCAGCCUUGCUUGAUGUCAUUACUCCUAGACUUUCACGUACAAGAGCCAAAAAAUUGUCUUUUCUUCCCCCUUAACCCAGGGCUCCUGCAACCAAAAGAACACUUGACUGUGGCAUCUUUCCAGCCUCCUGUUAGCAGCUAGGUAAGGUGCCCCCAUGGCAAGGAGCUGCGGGCAGCCUCAAGAAACUGGGUGGCCUCUUAGGACCUGAGGGCAGCCUCCAACAAGCAAGCAGCAAACCUCUGGGGCCUUCUGUUCUACAACUGCAAGGAAAUAAAUUCUGCCAACAGCCUGAAUGAGCACGGAAGUGAACUCUUUCUCAGUCGAGCCUCUGAAUGAGAACACAGUUCAACUCAUGCCUUGACUGCAGCUUGUGAGAGUCUGAGAAGAGGACCAGGAGCAACUCUAGUUGACUCUCCACUCCCACGCUGCAGGAAUUGACGGCGCACAGGGAACAGUUUCUACUGCUGUCCUUCCCGUUACCUCCUCCAAUGGGGCUUCAGUCACCACCUCUCUGGAAGGUGAUGAUGGUCGGCAGCUCCAUAUCGCCAGCCGUGACUCUGCCCUGAAAUCUAGCCCAAGGGAGCCAACUGCCUGUUUUGUCAGGACUCAUGAUCCUGAAGACAAUGAAGAAGAAAUAUGACAGUCGGUCCCGAGUGUGGAAUGAACACUCUGCUCUCCCAGCUGGGGAACUCCGUGAGGACCCACAUAAGCAAUGCAGAAGCAUUGGGAAACACAUGCAAUAACUGGGGCCAUCUGUUUUCUCCUGAAAACUAGUGGUGGGCUGGAUUCUCUGAAGAGUUUCUCAAGGCAUGUUGGACCAGAACAACCUGCUCAGAGAAGAGGCAAGGUCCCUGCCUGGGCCUCUGAGGUGUUGGAGGUGGGGCCAGCCCACCCCCAGGCCGUGAGGCCUGGCUGCUGGAAGGAGGCAGGACCCAGAAGGUUGCUGCCAUCCUGGGGUGUCUGAGUCCCCAUGUGGCCCAGCUGUGUUCCUGCUGGCCCGGCAUCCACACCCUUGUCUCUGGAUGUGCGGUGGGAGAAUUGUCUUUCUCCACGAACAGGCCAGGUGGUUCCUGGGAUUGACCUCUCUCUCCCAGGUGUGGACAAGCAGAGCAUCCUACGUCCCCAGCUACAGCGACUGGCUGAUAUGGUUUGGCUGUGUCCCCACCCAAAGCUCAUCUUGAAUUCCCACGUGUUGUGGGAGGGACCCAGUGGGAGGUAAUUGAAUCAUGGGGGCAGGUCUUUCCUGUGCUGUUCUCAUGAUAGUGAGUAAAUCUCACAAGAUCUAAUGGUUUUAUAAGGAGGCUGCACAAGCUCUUUCUCUGCCUGCUGCCAACCAUGUAAGAUGUGACUUGCUCCUCCUUUGCCUUCCACCAUGAUUAUGAGGCUUCUCCUGCCACAUGGAACUGUGAGUCCAUUAAAAUCUUUUUCCUGGAUAAAUUACCUAGUCUCGGGUAUGUCUUUAUCAGCAGCGUGAAAACGGACUAAUACGCUGGGCUAGGCUUGGUCAUGUGACCCAGGCCAAUCAAUGAAAUACAGGCUUGGGACUUUUGCAGGGAUAAUUUAGACAGGAAGGCUCUUUUCCCAUUAGGGUGCUAGGCUGGGCUAAUAUGUCAAACCAGCUGGUGGUCUCCCUCUUUAACCACAUGGAGAAAUCCCUUGCAAGUAGAAAAAAAAAAGCAAAGCUAUUAGACAGAGGAGGGUAGAGCUGAAGAUGGGGUGAUAGACAGCCCUGAUGACAUUGUUUGAAUCCCUGGAUCCAGGUGGUCCUGAAGCCUGCCUACCACCCCUGGUCUUUUAGGUAUUUGAACCCAUCACUUCCUUGUUUUGCUUAAACAAACUGUGGUUAGGUUCAGAAUCCUGGUUUAAACACCCGUCCCUGAGUUCUUUCAUAGGUUGCACUUGCUGUCCCAGGGCCUUUACUGUCUAGGUUGGAUGAUAGGUACACAGCCUUUCUCCUGUACUGGGGUGGAAGCCCUGGUGCCUGCUAUAUCUGGGCUUUGAUGCCUGGGUCAGGAUCUUGAAACUUCUCUGCAGGCAUUUCCUUUCAUGGGAAGCCCAGCAACUUGGCUGUUAGACUUGAGGUCAAAUCCUGGUCCUGCCACUGGGCAGGUGACCCUGUCUGCACCCCACUAUCCUCAUCUUUACAUUCUCCUGGGGAUAAUAUCCCCACCUCCCAGGAUGUCGGGGGAAUGAAUGAGAGAUGCUGUGAAGCACCAGGCAAGGUGCUGGUGGAUGUGGGAGCUGUUUCAAUUAUUGUUAUUUGUGCCUCACACACCCAGAGUGAAAGGGAAGCUGUGGGCUGGUCUCACAGGCCAGCCCCUGCAGCCUCUGAGUUUUUUAAUGAA
This 2541-nucleotide long non-coding RNA is filed under the name Homo sapiens (human). RNAcentral describes it as "HSALNT0055187". Lineage: Eukaryota; Metazoa; Chordata; Mammalia; Primates; Hominidae. The record is from RNAcentral.